Molecule: long non-coding RNA, 716 nt
Organism: Ictalurus punctatus (channel catfish)
Lineage: Eukaryota; Metazoa; Chordata; Actinopteri; Siluriformes; Ictaluridae
Source: Ensembl
GCAUAGAAGAUCUUUACUUUGAUUCUUCACUACAUAAAACGGAGCGUCACAGAAGUUUAAAUCAGGCUACAUUUAUUUAAAAUCUGCUCAUUCUGAUGGCGGUCCAUACAGCAGUGCUUGCUUAUUUUUUCGGUCAUUAUCAUGUUGUAGUUUUUGGGUUGAAACCAGAGAGAAAGAUGUUUUCCUGCGUUUUGGUAUCGUGGUCCGAGGUGAGGCUCCAAAAAACGUUUCUGCGUCUCCUCAAACGCGUUCACUUUAUAUGCUGAAGCGUCGAAUUUGUUACUUCUAAUAACUGCGGUUUCCGCGUCGAGAUAGACUGCGACUUAGGGGAAGUUCCACCCCUGCUCUUGCCUCUGACAGUUUUUUUCUACUUACGUAAGCUGUAGGAGUCGGCCUCCCCGCUCUGAGAGCCUUUAAAAACGCCUGCCUGCGUGCAGGAUGUGUUGUGGACUGAGUUUAUCUGACAUGUACAUUUAUAAACAGCUGUGCGACAACAAAGUCAUCGGAAGACGGACUUUCUUCUCAGCAAAAUACAAGAAAUUAUUUCAAAAAGGAAAAUAUGAGUACAGCUCAAUACAUCUGUGACGGUGUGUGCACUGCAGUGCUCAGCGGUGUGUCUGAGAUCUGCGAGAUGCUCGUGAACGUCUUCGCAUGUGGAGGAGAAAUACAUGAUCAGGAUGUAGCAGCAGAUCAUUCCGCAGAGUCAGGAGAAGAAG